GCACUCUGAUCCAGCCAUGCCGCGUGUAGGAAGACUGCCCUAUGGGUUGUAAACUACUUUUAUAUGGGAAGAAUAAGAUCUACGUGUAGAUUGAUGACGGUACCAUAAGAAUAAGCACCGGCUAACUCCGUGCCAGCAGCCGCGGUAAUACGGAGGGUGCAAGCGUUAUCCGGAAUCAUUGGGUUUAAAGGGUCCGUAGGCGGGCAUAUAAGUCAGUGGUGAAAGUCUGUGGCUUAACCAUAGAAUUGCCAUUGAUACUGUAUGUCUUGAAUUAUUGUGAAGUGGUUAGAAUAUGUAGUGUAGCGGUGAAAUGCUUAGAGAUUACAUAGAAUACCGAUUGCGAAGGCAGAUCACUAACAAUAUAUUGACGCUGAUGGACGAAAGCGUAGGUAGCGAACAGGAUUAGAUACCCUGGUAGUCUACGCCGUAAACGAUGGAUACUAGUUGUUUGGUUUUCGGACUGAGUGACUAAGCGAAAGUGAUAAGUAUCCCACCUGGGGAGUACGUUCGCAAGAAUGAAACUCAAAUG
RNAcentral lists this ribosomal RNA (529 nucleotides) under Flavobacteriaceae bacterium. RNAcentral's name for it is "bacterial SSU rRNA". It matches the Rfam family "Bacterial small subunit ribosomal RNA", at positions 378 to 907 of the family's 1533-position model. Lineage: Bacteria; Pseudomonadati; Bacteroidota; Flavobacteriia; Flavobacteriales; Flavobacteriaceae. The record is from RNAcentral.